UAGUAACGGCGAGUGAAGCGGUAAAAGCUCAAAUUUGAAAUCUUCGGAAUUGUAAUUUGAUGGAUAAAAUUGCCACGGACAAAAGUUCACUGGAAAGUGACGCCGUAGAGGGUGAUAGCCCCGUUUACGUCCACCGGCACUAUAAUUUUAUUCCAAAGAGUCGGGUUGUUUGGGAAUGCAGCUCAAAGUGGGUGGUAAAUUCCAUCUAAAGCUAAAUAUUGACGAGAGACCGAUAGCGAACAAGUACAGUGAUGGAAAGAUGAAAAGAACUUUGAAAAGAGAGUGAAACAGUACGUGAAAUUGUUGAAAGGGAAGGGGAGGGAAGAUGUUAAAGGGACUCCUUCUUUAGUAGGGAUCCCCCCAAGAGUCUUUCCUCUCGC
Molecule: ribosomal RNA, 380 nt
Filed under: [Candida] ipomoeae
Lineage: Eukaryota; Fungi; Ascomycota; Pichiomycetes; Serinales; Metschnikowiaceae
Description: partial 26S ribosomal RNA
Rfam family: Eukaryotic large subunit ribosomal RNA
Source: RNAcentral